This 294-nucleotide ribosomal RNA is filed under the name uncultured bacterium. RNAcentral's name for it is "partial 16S ribosomal RNA". It matches the Rfam family "Bacterial small subunit ribosomal RNA", at positions 775 to 1067 of the family's 1533-position model. The record is from RNAcentral.
GGAUUAGAUACCCUGGUAGUCCACGCCCUAAACGAUGGAUACUAGUCGUUGGAGUUCCUAAUAGCUUCAGUGACGUAGCUAACGCAUUAAGUAUCCCGCCUGGGGAGUACGGUCGCAAGAUUAAAACUCAAAGGAAUUGACGGGGGCCCGCACAAGCGGUGGAGCAUGUGGUUUAAUUCGAUGCUACGCGAAAAACCUUACCUGGGCUUGACAUCCCGGGCUACCCUGGGAAACCAGGGGUUCUCUUCGGAGACCCGGUGACAGGUGCUGCAUGGCUGUCGUCAGCUCGUGUCG